AUGCUCGCUUCGGCAGCACGUAUACUAAAAUCAGAACUUCACAGAGAAGAUUAGUAUGGCCCCUGCACAAGAAUGACACACAAAUUCGUGAAGUGUGCCAUAUUUUU
This 107-nucleotide small nuclear RNA is filed under the name Dasypus novemcinctus (nine-banded armadillo). The record is from RNAcentral. Lineage: Eukaryota; Metazoa; Chordata; Mammalia; Cingulata; Dasypodidae.